AACGAAUAUUCCGCAAUGGGCGAAAGCCUGACGGAGCGACGCCGCGUGCAGGAUGAAGUCUUUCGGGAUGUAAACUGCUGUCGGGGGUCAGAAAUUCUGAUCAGCCCCACAGGAAGCCUCGGCUAACUCCGUGCCAGCAGCCGCGGUAAUACGGAGGAGGCAAGCGUUGUUCGGAAUCACUGGGCUUAAAGGGCAGGUAGGCGGAAAUGUAAGUCAGAUGUCAAAGACCGAAGCUCAACUUCGGGUCGGCAUUUGAUACUGUGUUUCUUGAAUCAGUUGGGAGAAGAUGGAAUUCCAGGUGUAGCGGUGGAAUGCGCAGAUAUCUGGAGGAACACCAAUAGCGAAGGCAAUCUUCUGCGACAUGAUUGACGCUAAACUGCGAAGGUGCGGGGAUCAAACA
RNAcentral lists this ribosomal RNA (400 nucleotides) under uncultured prokaryote. Its description in RNAcentral is "partial 16S ribosomal RNA". It matches the Rfam family "Bacterial small subunit ribosomal RNA", at positions 356 to 774 of the family's 1533-position model. The record is from RNAcentral.